Molecule: ribosomal RNA, 460 nt
Filed under: uncultured bacterium
Lineage: Bacteria
Description: SSU rRNA
Rfam family: Bacterial small subunit ribosomal RNA
Source: RNAcentral
AGAAUCAACGCUGGCGGCGUGCCUAACACAUGCAAGUCGAACGAGAAAGUGGAGCAAUCCAUGAGUAAAGUGGCGCACGGGUGAGUAACACGUGACUAACCUACCUUUUAGUGGGGGAUAACCUAGGGAAACCUGGGCUAAUACCGCAUAAUACCUACGGGUCAAAGCAGCAAUGCGCUGAAAGAGGGGGUCGCGGUCGAUUAGUUAGUUGGCAGGGUAAUGGCCUACCAAGACUGUGAUCGAUAUCCGGCCUGAGAGGGCGCACGGACACACUGGAACUGAAACACGGUCCAGACUCCUACGGGAGGCAGCAGUGGGGAAUUUUGCGCAAUGGGGGAAACCCUGACGCAGCAACGCCGCGUGGAGGAUGAAGUCCCUUGGGACGUAAACUCCUUUCGAUCGGGACGAUAAUGACGGUACCGGAAGAAGAACGCCCGGCUAACUUCGUGCCAGCAGCCGC